CCACACUCGCUGUUCAAUAGUUCUGUGUGUGUGUGUGAGAGAGAGAGAGAGAGAGAGCAAGAGAGAAAGAGGGGAAGAUAAAAAUUGAGUGCGUAUUUGGAAAGGUUAUGGGGAACAUGCCUGUGUGUGGGUCCGUGUGUGUGUGUUAAACGGGCGAUUCGGGCCGCGCUGCACACUAAUAAUAGAAGACGCAUUACCACGCUGACUCACUGUUUCACCACACACACAUAUACGGAGCUCAAAUCAAUAUCAGGCCAUAACGUAACAAAACAGUAGCACUGCCGCCUCACUGCUCACAGCUCCAGGGUCCUGUUCUAUCCUGAGCUCAGGUGUGGAGAUUUUCAUGUUCUCCCCAUGUCCAUAUGGGUUUCCUCCACGUUCUCCGGUUUCCUCCACGUUCUCCGGUUUCCUCCACGUUCUCCGGUUUCCUCCACGUUCUCCGGUUUCCUCCCACCUCCCAGAAACAUGCGGGUAGGUGGAUUUGAAGGCUCUAAAUUGCCCCUACGUGUGAGUGAGUGUGUGCAUGGUGUCCUAUGAUGGACUGGCGUCUCAUUCAGGGUGGAUUCCCAUCUCACAACCAGUGUUUCCCAGGAUAGUCUCCGGAUCCACCGUAGCCCUAACCAGGUGCAAGUCCAUAACUACAAGUAUACAAUACGACUCUAGCAAUAAUAAAAAAGAAAAAGACAUGUUAGUACGGGCAAGGUUUCUAAUGUUUUGGUAACCCUUUAUUUUAAGAACCACACACAAGGGGUUCAUUAAGAUCCUGUUAAUUGCUUAAUAAGGCUCAGAUCCGAUUCCGUUAAAUAGGUUUUCCGUUCUUUUCUCAGUACGGGGAAAUGUUUUGAAAUGAUUGCUAAUCGCAAAUACAUUACAUACGCAGUAGAUCGAGACUAGGCAGGAGUAUUUGCUAGGCGGUAGGUGAUAUAGUAAGAUUCGUUAAGACUUGGCGAUACGACAGGAUGAGUAAGUGGUACAGGUUCCUGCGGCAGUAGAACAAUGGCACUGGUUUGAAUCGUUGAGAGUUGUGUUGCAGUAGCAGUGAGGGAGAAUAUUUCUGUACUGGUUAUGUUUAGACUCGCGACGGAUGACGUCUGAGCUGUAGGUGUCACACACCAGGUGCUUCAUUUUAAGUUUGUUUCUCACCCCCAUCUCGCACCUCCUCUCUUCUGGCACCUAACUCCCUCCUUCUCUUCAUCUCACUUUCGUGCGGUCUCACUACGCACGCACACUCCUCCCCUCCUCUGUUCACUCACUCUCUCUCUCUCUUUUUCUCUUUAUCCCUCUCCACCCUCUUCACUCUGUAAUUGGAUUCUAUUUUCAGGCAGCUAUAUGUGUCUGUCUCUUGUGUUUGUGUCUCACACCCCAUUUUUCUCUUUUCUCCCUCUUUCUCUGUCUCUCUUUCUCCCUUGACUGUCCUUGUAUUGCCCUGCAUUAUGUCACUACUUGUCACUAUUUGACAGCCCAGUAGCUUCCAGUAUAGAAUGCAUUUCAACUAACAACAAGAACAACAACACUAAAAAAAAAACCCCACCAUUCUGUGUUUAUUUUCAGCUGGAUGCAGCUGGACAGCCGAGCGACAGUUCGGUGUGUGGCAGGCUGUUUGGCCUUGAACGCUGCUGGAGGCUACGGCUUGUCAGCUUUUUCAUGGUUAGCUGAAGUUUGGAGUUGUGCUCCAGUACGUUUGACACAGUUUUCGAACAGCUGCCGAUGGAGAACAGAGAGAAAUUAAGGUUAAUAAGAGAUGAGUUAAUGACAGGGGGAGGUGAGUAAGACAGAGUGACGUUUCCACAAAGAACGAUAAGAAAGGAGAUUGGUUGGUGUAGGAUUUUUGAGGACCGUGGUAGUAUAUAAGACGUGGGCCAGAUGAAAGAGGAAGUGACUGUCGUAGAAAGACGAAAGCCGGAGAUGCGUGUGGAUUUGCUAUGUAGAGACUGAAGGAAUAAGGGAAGAGAAGAGAAGAGAAAAGAUGGGCGUUCCUCAGCAAGCCAAAAAGCAGUCACCUGGAAGAACCAGCACUGGUCGCUUGGUGCCUCAUACGCCUCGACACUCACGCUCAGGGCAGACGCGACAUACUCCACGUGCCGCUCAGCCUCGGACGCCCCGAAAACAGGUCGCACACACCUCGCAGGGACACACACACGGGCAUGCGCACUUGCACUCGCACUCGCACCGCUCGCCGUCUGCUCAAGGUGGUCCGAAUCGGCCCGGGAAUGGACACACACACAUGCACAGUUACACACACCUGUCGGCUCACGCUGACCAAGGUGGCUGUAACCUCUUCUGCUACCUGUGUUACUGUGCCUACUGCCUUGGCCUGAUGGUCCUUUCAUUCUGUCUUCUCCUCUUCCUCUCUCCUCCUUCACCUCGCUCUCACCCUCACCCUCCAUCUCCUCAACCUCCUUCCACCUCCCCUUACCCUGACGAGUUCAUUUCUAUGCCUUUGUCCUCCUUAUCAUCUCUCGCUGUUCCUUUCUGCCCCCAUCCGGCUCUCAACUUCUCCUCCAACCUCUCUACCUUCUUUCCUUUCACCCGUUUUCUCUCCUCCACUGGCUCCAACGAUUUUCUCUUCAAUCUCACCUCUCCUCUCCCUCCAUGCCCCUCCACUCAAUCCCAAACUUCACGCGGUUCCUCCACUUCAUCCCCCGACUCCCAACAUGGCUCUCCAUCCUCCUCUUCUUCAUCCCGCCCAUUUAUGCUGGUCCCUCCCUCUCUGCUGCUCCUGCCCCGCCCAUCGCUGUGUCGCUCUCGCUCGUCCUCUUCUCGCUCACUCCCCUCCCUUCUGCUUUGCCCACCCAGUUUCACAGACCCUGCCCUCUCAUCUCUGGAGCACAUCCCUGUGCCGGGCGCCACACCCCGCCCCAGGACUCUGCUGAGGCAGCAAAGCCUCCAGCAGCCACUCAUCCAAUCUCCAGCCUCAGGCCUUGGUGCCCGUUCAGCCAUCUCACAGAGCUUGGGUCAACUCCAUCCUCAACCUGGAGGAGGGGGUGGAGGGGAAGGGCCGGGUGGAGGGGGAGAAGCGAGAUCUACGGCUCAGCGUGGAGGAACAGGAACUCGAGGUACUAGAGGCAGCACAGCAGGGGGCGGAGCUUCUCGCUAUAGGUCAGGAGGCACAGGGAGCCGGGUCUCGAGGGGGAACCCGGGCAGCUGGGACUUCAUGAUGAGCCAGAUCAAGAACCGUGGCCUGGAUGUCAAGUCUUUCCUGGAAGGGAAGAUGGUGGUUCUCUCUCUGGCGAUUGGACUGGCUGAGCAGGAUGAUUUUGCCAGUCUACCUGACCUACAGGAGGUACCACCCAGUCAAGAAACCCCUGCCGACAAGAGUAGGACUAUGGGUAAUAAGCCUGCAAACAGUCCUAAGGGUCAGCCUCCGGAUGCGGAUGGACACUCGUCUGUCUCUGACCUCGCUAACUCACUCACUGGAGACAUGGUGAUGUUGUCUCCUGGCUCAGAUGAGGAUCAUGAAGGUCCGAUCAGUGAGAAGCUGGGGAGGAUUCAGUUCAGUGUUGGCUACAGCUUCCAGGACUCCACUCUCACGGUGAAGAUCCUAAAAGGUCAAGACCUCCCUGCUAAGGAUUUCUCUGGCACCUCUGACCCCUUCGUGAAACUCUACCUUCUGCCUGACAAAAAGCACAAACUGGAGACCAAAGUGAAGAGGAAGAACCUCAAUCCUCACUGGAACGAGACUUUCCUGUUCGAAGGGUUCCCGUACGAGAAGGUGCGAGAGCGCACGCUCUACAUGCAGGUGCUGGAUUAUGACCGCUUCAGCAGGAACGACCCUAUAGGAGAGGUGUCUAUACCACUAAACAAGGUGGAGCUGGGCCAACACCAGACUUUCUGGAAGGACCUAAAACCGUGCAGCGAUGGCAGUGGGAGUCGAGGAGAUCUUCUUGUGUCUCUGUGUUAUAAUCCUACCGCUAACACCAUCACUGUCAACAUUAUAAAAGCACGCAACCUUAAAGCCAUGGACAUCGGAGGCACAUCAGAUCCGUACGUGAAGGUGUGGCUCAUGCACAAAGACAAGCGUGUGGAGAAGAAAAAGACAAUUACUAUUAAGCGCUGCUUGAAUCCCGUCUUUAACGAGUCCUUCCCCUUUGACGUUCCUGCACACGUUCUCCGAGAAACCACCAUCAUCAUCACUGUCAUGGACAAGGACCGGCUGAGCCGUAACGAUGUCAUCGGCAAGAUCUAUCUGUCGUGGAAGAGUGGUCCAGCAGAGGUGAAGCACUGGAAAGACAUGCUGAGCAGGCCGCGCACCAACGUGGCACAGUGGCACGCCCUCAAAGCCUGAUCACCCGUACAUGGUCCCGCCCUGACCCCAUAACCUAUAACCUUUGACCCUUGAGCCCAUGCCCCUUCCUUAUGCACAAGACUGACUCGAUGCCUGGCUGCAAAACACGGGGGAGGUAACUCAAGAUGGGUGUAGCAAUACAUGGAGGCUGGACCAGGCAGUACUUCACUGACAAAUGAGUGAUCAUUCUCUCUGUCUCUCUCUCUCUCUCUCGCUCUUUCUCUCUCUCACUCACACACUGUGUCUCUCUAUUCUGCAGUAAGACAGUCCUGAUUUCUAUCCAUUCAGUCCAUCACUUACAUUAGGGCCUUCGACACAUGGAUGUCACCUGUAGGUGCACGUACUAAACGUGGUAAAGGCUUAAAUGUGUUCCAUCUUAUUUGGCUUGAGAGAGUGUGUUAGUCAGGUCGAAAUCACAGCCUACCAUUAAAUUAUAUUUAUUAUUGAUUUUCUUUUAUAGUUAUUAGCUUCUUUGACUGGUCACCUGAAGGCUUAAUCCAAAUCACACUCAAAAACCUGAGUUACUUCGACUUAACCCUUUACUGCGUGAUGUUGCCAUAUGGCAACAGUUAAUUUAUCUCUAAUUUUUUGAUGGGCAAUAAUACAAAACUAAUAUUUUCCUAUGUAUCUGGAAAAAGGGGGCUUUAACUUUGACAUGACAUGAAAAAAAAAGCCGUGUCAGAUGACCAGGAAGAGCUGUUUGUACUUCCUUUUCUGCAAUCACACGGCAUGGUGAACGUUAUCAUCAGAGGGCUCUCAGAAAUUUGAUUAAUAUUUCAAUAUGUAGGCUUAACCACUUGAAGGAAAAAAUCGAAACACUCUCUGAGAAGUUAACGUUUACAUUUUUUUUUUUUUUUCUCUCAUUUAAACAAGUUUAUAUAUUUUGAGUAUUCUGUUAAGUGAUGAAAUGUCAUUGUUGCCAUUUGGCAGCAACAUGCGAUAAUGGAACUGCGGUGUGUGCAUUCAUGAAGUGAAACAGGCCUACAUGGUAUAAAUAAAAAAUACACUAGGCUUCUCUAAUAGUAUAUGUACAGUUUUUCAAAUUCAGAAUAAGAAAAAACUGCUGUAAUAAACUCUAAUUGCACCUUAUUUUCCUAAAUUUAAGAGUAAGAACCAUGCAUUCUUUAAAAAGAUAUUAAAAAGAUACUGCACCCAAAUCAUGUUUGGAUCGAAUUUUUCUCUGUGUUUUGAGUGACUAAAUCCCUUCGCAUACUUUUUACAACUGUAAUUGUACUUUUACGUGCUUACUAGGUGGCGAAUCGCGGUAAUUGGAAUUGUAAUCUCACAUGUUUUGUGCUAUUUUUGACUACAUGAUACUUUCCACCGUUGCAGUGGUAAUUUACCAAUUUCAGUAAAUUCAUCGUAAUUUUAUUUAUAUAGCUUGCUUUACACCGUCACAAUAUAACGGUGUCAUUGUCACAGCGCAGCUUUCCAGAAAUCUGUAUAUAUAUGGAGAUAUAUAUAUAUAUCAUUUAUUUUGUUUUCAAAUUUCAUUGAUAUUCUGAUUGAGCAAAGCAGUGGGAUGUAGCUAAAUUUACAAACAUGCUUAUUAAACAACUAUAUCGAAAAGCUAUCAGUGAUAAAUAAGAGUAGCGGUGAACACAAUCAUAUUUGAAUUCACUUAUGAAUGAUCAGCAAUAAGAAAAAUGUAAAUGAUAUGGCAGAAAAUCAAAGUUUUAAGUAAGAUUAUGUAAAUAUACAUUUAUAACUGAUAUCAGGGCCUUGCGUAAAUGCCGGAUUCAUGUGUGUGCUCGAUCUGGAACUUUGAAGACCUGAGUAGGCUCAGUUACAGCUUGGGAAAGUGGAUCAAGAGCACUGCUACAAAACCCAGCCUAAGGAAUAACGGGAAAAAAACAACAAUGUCAGUAGAGUUAAAGCUCUCAUUCUUUCUCCUCAGUCUUUAGAGCUAUUUUGAUAUCGCAGACUAGUCGGAGGGGAAGAAUCACCUCGGUCAAUUUUAAGCGCUGGCAGGAAUAAAAAUCUAGACUUAAGAGCUCAGCAGACUGGAAUAGAUUGUUAAAUGUAAUCAACCCUGUUUCUACUCAAGGGAGGGUAAAAAGACGGCUAAAACUAGCAACUGUGCAAAAAUCAAUAGGAAUGAAGAGAUUAUUUAUUUAUUUAUUUAUUUAUUUAUUUAUUUACUUUGGAUGGGGUUGAAAAAUUUGGUAUAUAUUGUAAAUAUAGUAAUGGUGAAGUUAUAUCACACACUGGCCUGGAAAAUAUUUAACUCCUUAUUUAAUCUCCCAGGUCUCGUUGGUGGGUCCCGACUCCCACUUCCUCCACUCUCCUUCUUAAUUUCACGAAUAGUCGCCGAGUGAUUUAUUGCAGUUAUUGAAUAACGUGCCUUAAGAUCAUUUGAAGAUGACUGAACUGAAUAUUUAGUUAUUUUUGAAAGCUGCGUCUUUACGACUACAGACACCGAGAAGAACGAGAUCUAGGACCACGAGGACCACAAAUUCGUGGCGCGUGUUGGGUUAUUUUCAUAAAUAAUCAAUUCAAGGGACGUGUUCGUGUGAAGGGGGGGUAUGGAUGUGAUGUGAUGCCUUUGUGCGUGGAUGGUUUCGAUGUGUUUGUGACUCUGCGUCCAUGUAGGCUUGUUGGUAAGUCAGGACAGCGCUUGUGAGAUCAUGCUGCUUUCCGAUCAUUCAGUGUUCUCGGGGUAAGAAAGCUGAGCUCUAAUCAAUCCACCAUUACGCCCAUUCACACUUAAUGGCGAUCCAUAUCUAUGGAGCGCUUCUCGUUGAGUGCUUGCUUUUGUGGCUUAAUGUGGCCUCCAUCCUUUGCUGCUUUGGUUCAUGAACAAUUAGCGAACGAAUAAAAGCUUCACUUCUUAUAAGCAUUGUUCCUCGUUCCACAUUAGUGAUGAUAAAAAGAUUUAAAAGCAACGAUCUUUUCUUCUGUCUAGGACUUUAGAGAGAGAGAGCGAGAGAGACAGGGGGUUGUACGAGCUGUGUGUGUUCUGUAUAUUUCACAACACCUUAUAUCUUACUGUGUACUGUUUUCUCUUCUCUUUGAUUCAGUGAACGGUUUAAAUGUAUAAACACUGCCCAGGUCUGCUUGUGGGUUUCUGCGCUAGAGCUAAUUAAACACUGCCACUUACGUAGUGUGCUCAUUAAACACUGCCUGUGUACCAAUAUGCGUGACCUCAUUAUAAUGCUGCCUGUAUUGAGCUGAUGUCUACUCAAGAUGUUUCCUAAAAAUUGUUACUGCCAAACCUUCUGCAGAUGUCGGUACUUGACUGGAACAGAGACUUGUAUAGCGUUCACCGAGUUGUGUGUGUGUGUGUGAGAGAAUGGGACGGUUGUGACAGUAGGAGACUAAAAGGUGUCAAAAUGCUUUACGCUCUCUAUGUGAGGCUUGUGGAUCGACGGUGGGGUGGCAAUCCGAGCUUAAUAUAGUACACACCCUCACAAACACCAUUAUUAUAUUUCAAAAAAGGUGCAUUCUCAUUCCUGUGCCACUGACUUAUUUGAUUCUAGUGUUGUAAAUUUGGCGUGCAGGCAGAACACAAUGAGAGCCCGAGAUGAACAGAACAGACGAGACGAGACGAGAGAAGUGAGACAGACACCGUCUGAGUUGUGAGGCAGUUUCUCUACGUUUCACUCGAUUGCAUCACGCAGAGCAUUUGUGUUGCUGCUGCUUCAGUAUGGAGCAUGUUAAAACUUUAUGUCCAAAAGUCUAAAGCCUGCUAUUAUUUUAGACAACGUCUUUGUUGAUUUGUUACACCUUUAUUUAACAGAAUAACUAUUCAGAUGAACAUAAACAUUAAGAGGGAUCACACUUCUCAGCCUCGCCGGUAAAGCCUAUGUCAGAGUGUUGGAAAUGAGACUUGGUCCUGUAGUUGGACGUCGGAUUCGGGAGGAACAAUGUGGUUUCCGUCCGGGCCGUGGGACAAUGGACUUGCUCUUUGUCCUGUCAGAGAUAUUUGAGGAGUUGGACUCUGCCAAGGUUGCCUUGUCCUCACUCCUGUUUGUGAUAGAGAGAGUAUGCAGUUUGGGGGUUUGGAGGUGGCAUCACUGCUGUAUGCAGGUGAUGAUGUGCUUCUCGCCCCAUCCGACUGUGAUCUCCAACACACACUCGGGCAUUCCGCUGCGGAGUUUGAAGCGGCUGGGAUGAGAAUCAGUACCUCCGAGUCUGUGUCUAUGGUUCUCUCUUGGAAAAGAGGUUAGAGGGGGAGCAGCUGCCUUUAGUGAAGGAGUUUACGUAUCUCGGGGUGUUGUUCAUGAGUGACGGAAAAGGGGAGCGUGAGAUCGACAGGAAGAUCACUACAGUAUCGCGGACACUGUGUCGGUCCGUGGUGGUGAAGCGGGAGCUGUGCCCUCAGACAAGGCUCACGGUUUACACGUCAGUCUACCUCCCCAUCCUCACCUAUGGUCAUGAACGUUGGGUAAUGACCGAAAGGACAAGAUGGCGAGUGCAAGCGACGGAAAUGAGGCUUCUCCGCGGGGUUGACGGACUCACCCUUAGGGACAGGGUGAGGAGUUCAGUAAUCCAGGAAAACCUCGGAGUAGAGUCGCUGCUUCUCUGGAUCAACAGGAGCCAAUUGUGCUGUUUUGAGCAUUAGGUAAGGAUGCCACCCGAGAGGCUGCCUGUACAGCACAGAGGCCGAAUCAAGACACAAUGGAGGGAUCGUAUCUCCCGGCUGGAUUGGGAACGCCUGGGAAUCCCCCAGGAGGAGCUGGAAUCUGUCGCUGGGGAAAGGGAAGUCUGGUCUGCCCUGCUUAGUAUGUUGCCACCGCAACCCUCACCAGGACAAGCCGUGUAGAAAAUAGAUGGAUGGAUGGAUAAACAUUAAUAUAAUAAUAAUAAUAAAAGAAACAAUACUCUGUCUUCUAGAAAAGUUGCUAUUUUUUGUGAGAUGGACAAGGACACCGGUUUGGCUCCCAGUUAUUCCGCUUAUUCCAGUCCAGCCAGUCAGCAUACCUGAUGAUUGUGAUGAUGUGCUAUUGGUGGAAUUACAUAUUAGAUGCUCAUUACAAAUACUGAAAUAGCUCAAGGAGAUGUUUAAAUUGACACAUCGUCAUGUUUUCCCUGCUCUAACACACCGGAAUCAUCUCAUUAACAUGGACGUGUUAGAGCACUGAAAGCACUGAAAUGUGCAGGGCAGCGGCUUCUCCGGGACCAGGCUUGGGUACCGGUGAUGUCUGAGAUCUGAUGAAACUCAAUGAAUUCUGAGGUUAAAACUGCUGAACUGCUGCAAACAUGUUGUUAAAGAUAUACGGGUCUAAUCUGAUCCAACCAGUUGUAACUCAAUCUGUAUUUAAUCAUUCAUUUAGCUACAUCCGUUACAUGGAUGUACUAUUUCUGCAUAGUACAGGAGUACUGAUAUUCUGAGUCCUGAAAACUGACCGCAAAGCAGUGGGAGGUAGCUAAAAGUACAGCUAAAAGAGUUUUGGAUAUUUUAAUACACGAUUAUAUUUAAGACACGAUUGUACUAAUAUUGUGUUAUCAGCAAUAACAAAGUUGUAAAUGUAAAUUUGACAUCACAAGUAAGAGAAAAUGCGGACAAUACAUCGACAUGAAUACGAAAUCAUUCAUGUAUAAAGGCAACAUAAUGUUAGCUAAAGCUAAUUAACCUCGGCUGUUGAAGUUUGCACCAUGAUGCGUGGCGCCAGACAAAUGACAAGUCGAUGGUACUUAAUGAUAAAAUGGAUCCACAAACGAAUCUUACCUUAUUAAAACACUUCGCAUUUACUACCAAACCUUCAACGCAAACAUAACUGAGCUGUGUCUCAGAGAUGAGUUAAAGGGUCAACUGUGGAAAUGUCUACAACAACUGUACAUACAAACUGAGGUCACGCAAAUACUUGAUUUAAAAAGUAUUAUUAUUAUUUAAAACAAAUAAGCAGUUGUUUCCUAGGUAAAUAGCUUUAAGUAAAUAGCUUUUUCCCCCUCAAGUGUGAUACACUGCAAAAAAAACUAUAUCUUAGUAAGUUUCUUGAAUGACGAAACGUUAUCUGGAGAUUAUUAUAUAAUAAAUAUAACAUCAUGAAGCCUAUUCCUGAAUAUAUUUGCUAAUUUCAAGCUUCUUAUUCUAUUUGCAGACAUUGCUCAUUUUUAUUCUUUCUAGGAAUACAAUUUUUAUCUAGAAACACGUUUUUUUUUUUUUUUUUUAGAAUUAUCUGCCAAUAGAAUAAGUCCGUGACUAUGGAGUCCGUAUACAUGGACAAUAAUAAUCUAAUUAUUCUAAUUCUAAUGAAUCUAGUAAUGUAAUUAUUGACCUUAUUCUGAGUAAGAUAAUAAUGUGAUUAAGGUGUUUACAUGAGUCGCUUUUAGAAUAUUCCUUUCAUGUACCCGUUUUACAUGUUAUAGAACAUAAUUAGAUUAACAGUCCGCGUCAUUACGUCACCGCGCCACGCCAUCCGACGUCCCUCUAGAAUUUCACGUAUCGACAUAGAGUUCGUCUUCGUUAUGGGACCGUAUACAGUGUUGGGUGUUUUUAUUUAAAAUUUUUACGAACGCUUCAAGUGCGGUUAAUUAUUUGUCGUGCUGUACGUGCAACGUACGACUGCUUGAAGCCGUGGGCUGCGUCCCAAACCGCGUAUUUCUGUCUAUAUAGUAGCUAAAAUCCGUGUAUUUCUCCUACUGUAUAGUAGAUAAGUACACGGUUUGGGACGCAGCCGUGCUCUCUUGUUUGCAGUAAAACGGUCGAGCGCUGCCAUGUGCGUACGUGUCCUGUCGCAAAAUGCGGUGAAAACUCCCACACGACGUUAAUAGUGUGAUUAAGGUGUGUACGUGUCUGUAACGCACGUCGAUAAUGCGACUAAAACAGGAGUACUCCACACGUCUUAAUUCCAUUCGUGUUUACUUCGAGUAUGACUUUAGUCGGAUUAAGAUCAUCAAUAAUCGCUGUUUACAUGCUAGUUUCUUAAUCAGAGUAUCGUCUUAAUCGGGUUAAUAUCGGGUUAUUGUUGUCCGUGUAAACGUACUGAAAUGAGUAUGAAUAUAGGCUUAAUCUUAUUUUUGUUUCAAAACAAACUAAUAAAAAGAAAUAGUUGAAUUUACCCAUGAUAUUUGAAUUAGCUAAAAAUAUCUUCUCUUUUUUUCUUUUUUUCUUUGCAGUGUAAGACUUUUAUUUGGUACUGGCUCCUGCAUGCUGUCAGUGGAAAAGCUGUCAAGGCAUCAAAUCGAGUCAUGACAAGAGUGAGAGAAAAGCAGAUGCUUUUAUCGAGAAGGCGAUAAUUCUUCUCAGACUGCUCUUCUUCCUGCCCACAUGUUUAUUCACAGUCCUGUCUCCAGACGUUAUCUUUCUCUCGUUUCUGUUCUGUUCAAAUCGUUUAAGCUUUAUUAGCAGGAAAGGUCAGCACAGUUUGUGAUGGCGAUUUUCAGAUUAUUGUGAUUUUGCUUGUUUGCUGUGAUCUUGCCCCUCAGGGCCGUGUGUCCCUAAACUCUCUCUCUCCCUCUCCCACUCUCUUUCUUACACACACAAAUACAGAGUGACUAGCAUCAGUGUCGCUUGUGAGACGGACUAAUAGACUGCAAUGUAUUAGUGGGAGGGCUCAGUCAGCCAGGAAGCUUGCUCCGUCAGGUGAAGUGUGUUCAGAGGAACUUAUCAGUCUUCAUCUCUCUCUCUCUCUCUCUCUCUCUCUCUCUCUCUCUCUCUCUCCUUCACUCUGUCUGCCUCGAUGUGUGCUGUUCUGGUCCCAGCCUCCAUCUGCUCUCCUUUUCAUUGUUUAAAGCGCUGGUCCUUGCGCCGGCUUGGCCACUCCCAGUCAGGGUUCUUGUGCACAUUAUUCUAAAUGAACAUAAACGACUACAAUAAGUAAUAAUAGCUGGUCUUUUAAAAAAAAAAAAAAAAAAAAAAAAAAAAAAAAAACUCUGUUUCCGUUUGAUUGUUGGUCUGUGUAUAACCGUGUACGUGUGAUAGACUAGGUGUUCUAAUGUUGAGUUUGUUUCUUUAUAAAGUAACUGGAAAAGGGGGCGUAAUAAAAGCCCCGAUUAUAUUAUGUUUUUAAUGUUUUCUUUUUCUUCCUGUAAAUAAUCGACAAAUGAGAAACUCUGUGGUUGUAAAGAUGUUUUAAUUGCCACUUGUAAUAAUAAUGAUGAUGAAAUAUUAUUGGUGGUUUAGAAAAUGAUGAUGAUGAUGAUGAUGAUGAUGAUGAUGAUGAUUAACGCCCUUCUUGAACAAGGGCAUUUGAUGUCCGGUGUAUUUUCGUUGGAGGAACGGUUGAGGGGGAACGACUGAGUAGAGAUGCAAGAGAAGGAGAGGCACGAUCUGUGACAGAGCACAUUAAAUUUAAUCAAAUGAAAUUAAACACCAUAAAUUACCCAUAAUUCCUGUAUAUAAGCGGAACAGCGUUAAUGACAUGAUUGCGAGUAUUACAGUCACAUCUUUAUAACUGCGCCGGCAGAUGUUUGGAAAUAAUGUGUAAGGGGUUUUGCUGACACAGAUGAACAGACGUUCACACACACACACACACACACACACACACACACGUACGCAUGCACAGACAGACAAUUCGGUGUGUAAAUGACACCCAUUCUUGUUUUCCAUAUGAUGCAAGCCAGUGACACACGUCUAUACGUCUGUACUCCUCUACAUCAUUGCUCCAGAGUCACUUUCAGAGCAUACCAAUCACUAACAAUCCCAAACCCAAAUUGCAGCCUUCAGCUCCAAACAAACUCUUCUUAUUAUUGUUUCAAAGAUGUUAAUAAUGAUAAUGAGUCUUUAUUGGUCACAUAUACAUUACAGCACAUGUAAUGAGCAUGUUAAGAAGCUGGAGACAGAGCGCAGGGUCAGCUAUGAUGCAGCGCCCCCUGGAGCAGAGAGGGUUAAGGGCCUUGCUCAAGGGCCCAACAGUGGCAGCUUGGCAGUGCUGGUGCUUGAACCCCCGACCUUCCGAUCAGUAACCCAGAGCCUUAACCGCCACUGCCCCAAAUCCACGUUCUGUAAGGAAUGUCUCGACGAAAGCCGACUUUCAUGGAUCAAUUUCAAUACACAUUUAAGGAAAUGAAGUAAAGUUUCAUUUUUGAAUAAGGAGACCGGGGGCUGUUUUUCAAAUGAUUACAGUCUGGAAACGAGGAGACAGUAGUGGCGGCGAUGACAGAAUGUAGUCUGGUUGCAGUGAUUUGAUGAUAAUACGAUGAAUAUUAUUACUAUCGUUCGGGUGUUCUGGGUAAGCAAAUGGUUGAUCAUCUCUCUCCUUCUCUUGUGCGCUCUCUCAGUUUGUCCCAAACCAACGCCACUUUCAAUGAAGAUUGCUCCUCUAUGUGUCAACACUCAUAUGUGUACAAUCUUCAUGGGUUUCUUUUCUUUUUUUUUUUUUGCCAACUUUGUAUAGUGUAAAAAAGUAUAAAUAUAUGAAAAAUGAGUACUGUAUAGAUUUUAGCUGCCUGUCCAGGCCCAC
Molecule: RNA transcript, 13632 nt
Organism: Ictalurus punctatus (channel catfish)
Lineage: Eukaryota; Metazoa; Chordata; Actinopteri; Siluriformes; Ictaluridae
Gene: syt7a
Gene name: synaptotagmin VIIa
Exons: 9
Source: RefSeq, a predicted model, not a curated record